AUUUUUGCAUUGUAAUUCUGUAAAUGGAAAACAAAAGAAGAAAAGAAAAUGCAAUAUCACUAAAAUAUCCACAUAUAAUAAAGAUAAAUGCCAAAUAAUAGAUUCCUACACCUAUAAAGGGUACUUUCAAACUCCAUACUCAUUUUUUCUCUUCUUGUUUAAGCUUGAAAGUACAUUAAAAGGAAGGCACCUUUAUUUUUUUUGGAAGUUUAAUAAAUUUGGUAUUGUUACUAUAAAAGUAUCUUUAUAGUUAGUCAAGUACAAAAAUCAAUUACCAGUCUUAUUAUAGACCCAAGAUCUCACUAAAUACCAUAAGAAAGAGAAGGGAAAAUAGAAUCCUUGAUUGAAAUGGCAAUCCCACUACAAAUUCGUCAUUUGUUCCAUAUUUCUAUAAUUAGUCUCCAAUUCUUUCAUCUUUGCAAGAAACAAAUAGAGGAUUCAAAUUAGGCCUCAGUUUUCUUUUGAAAAAAGAACGGAUAAAUUAUAAACUAACCCCAUCAAGCAGU
RNAcentral lists this unclassified non-coding RNA (506 nucleotides) under Hevea brasiliensis (rubber tree). Lineage: Eukaryota; Viridiplantae; Streptophyta; Magnoliopsida; Malpighiales; Euphorbiaceae. The record is from RNAcentral.